Molecule: ribosomal RNA, 1070 nt
Filed under: Micrococcus sp.
Lineage: Bacteria; Bacillati; Actinomycetota; Actinomycetes; Micrococcales; Micrococcaceae
Description: bacterial SSU rRNA
Rfam family: Bacterial small subunit ribosomal RNA
Source: RNAcentral
UGCAGUCGACGAUGAAGCCCAGCUUGCUGGGUGGAUUAGUGGCGAACGGGUGAGUAACACGUGAGUAACCUGCCCUUAACUCUGGGAUAAGCCUGGGAAACUGGGUCUAAUACCGGAUAGGAGCGCCCACCGCAUGGUGGGUGUUGGAAAGAUUUAUCGGUUUUGGAUGGACUCGCGGCCUAUCAGCUUGUUGGUGAGGUAAUGGCUCACCAAGGCGACGACGGGUAGCCGGCCUGAGAGGGUGACCGGCCACACUGGGACUGAGACACGGCCCAGACUCCUACGGGAGGCAGCAGUGGGGAAUAUUGCACAAUGGGCGAAAGCCUGAUGCAGCGACGCCGCGUGAGGGAUGACGGCCUUCGGGUUGUAAACCUCUUUCAGUAGGGAAGAAGCGAAAGUGACGGUACCUGCAGAAGAAGCACCGGCUAACUACGUGCCAGCAGCCGCGGUAAUACGUAGGGUGCGAGCGUUAUCCGGAAUUAUUGGGCGUAAAGAGCUCGUAGGCGGUUUGUCGCGUCUGUCGUGAAAGUCCGGGGCUUAACCCCGGAUCUGCGGUGGGUACGGGCAGACUAGAGUGCAGUAGGGGAGACUGGAAUUCCUGGUGUAGCGGUGGAAUGCGCAGAUAUCAGGAGGAACACCGAUGGCGAAGGCAGGUCUCUGGGCUGUAACUGACGCUGAGGAGCGAAAGCAUGGGGAGCGAACAGGAUUAGAUACCCUGGUAGUCCAUGCCGUAAACGUUGGGCACUAGGUGUGGGGACCAUUCCACGGUUUCCGCGCCGCAGCUAACGCAUUAAGUGCCCCGCCUGGGGAGUACGGCCGCAAGGCUAAAACUCAAAGGAAUUGACGGGGGCCCGCACAAGCGGCGGAGCAUGCGGAUUAAUUCGAUGCAACGCGAAGAACCUUACCAAGGCUUGACAUGUUCUCGAUCGCCGUAGAGAUACGGUUUCCCCUUUGGGGCGGGUUCACAGGUGGUGCAUGGUUGUCGUCAGCUCGUGUCGUGAGAUGUUGGGUUAAGUCCCGCAACGAGCGCAACCCUCGUUCCAUGUUGCCAGCACGUAAUGGUGGGGGAC